RNAcentral lists this ribosomal RNA (484 nucleotides) under uncultured bacterium. RNAcentral's name for it is "partial 16S ribosomal RNA". It matches the Rfam family "Bacterial small subunit ribosomal RNA", at positions 30 to 507 of the family's 1533-position model. The record is from RNAcentral.
AUUGAACGCUGGCGGCAUGCUUUACACAUGCAAGUCGAACGGCAGCGCGGGCUUCGGCCUGGCGGCGAGUGGCGAACGGGUGAGUAAUACAUCGGAACGUGCACUGUAGUGGGGGAUAGCUCGGCGAAAGCCGGUUUAAUACUGCAUACGACCUGAGGGUGAAAGCGGGGGAUCUUCGGACCUCGCGCUAUUGGAGCGGGCGAUGGCAGAUUCGCUAGUUGGGGGCGUAAAGGCCUUCCAAGGCGACUAUCUGUAGCUGGUCUGAGAGGACGACCCGCCACACGGUGAGUGAGACACGUCCCAGACACCUGCAGUAGGCAGCAGUGGGGAAUUUUGGACAAUGGACGAAAGCCUGAUCCAGCAAUGUCGCGUGUGUGAUGAAGGCCUACUGGUUGUAAAGCACUUUUGGCGGGAGCGAUAAGGACUGUUCCAAUACCACAUUUCGAUGACGGUACCCGCAGAAUAAGCACCGGCUAACUACGUG